UGAAAUGUCAAGUGUCAACGCGCGAUCUUGUUUGUUGUGUUUGAUUAUGAUUUUUCGAGAUUUCUUCAAUGAUUUCUUGUAAAUUGUAAUAAAUAGAUCUGUCUGUGUGAUCUUUCACAGAGCAUCAAAAAAUAUGCCUAAUUGCAGUGUGUUAGGUUGCGGCAUUAAAAGUGAAAACCGUAUUUCAUUACAUCGAUUUCCUAAUAAUGAAGUAAUGAAAAAGAAAUGGCUAGAGAUUAUUGGUCCGAAUAAUAUAAACCCAAAGCAUAGAAAACCAGCAGUUUGUUCGAUGCAUUUCCAGGAAUCAUGCAUCAACAGAACUCUUGAUGUAACAAGAUUACAUGAUGACGCAUUGCCAUCUUCUUCACUUCUGCCUAAUCGAACCAAUUUAAAAACACAACAAACUCCAAAUCAAUUAAUAGCAAACUACAUUGGACAACAUGUUGAUCCAUUGACAUCUUCUGAGAUAUAAAUAAUAACCCGCAGCAGCAGCGCAACUGCCGCGCAGUGCAAAUUUAAAGGCGCCAUAAACCUUGUUAUUAACUAAGAAUGUAUCCAUUAAGAUUAUCCACGUUGUUGUGAUGAAAGUAUUUAUUAAAAUGGAUAAACAUUUUUAGAUCACUAAAAUAUUGAUAAUCAAAGAGAAAAGCAACACACCAGCAACUCCAUGCUCCCAAGAAAAUCCUACAUCUGCAGAAAAGAUUCAACUAGAAAAUAAAGAAAUAAAAUAUCACAAAAGGUGUAAUUUCCUGAAAAAGCGUGUAAAAAUUUUGCAAGAAAGGGUACGGAGACGAGACAAAAAGAUUGCGCUCUUGACUAAAAUAAUCAAGGAUAUACAGCAAAGAAGUAGAAAAAAAAAUCUUGAAAAGAUCACAUUUCAGUAAAAUGCA
This is an RNA transcript of Ostrinia furnacalis (Asian corn borer), 890 nucleotides long. It is a transcript of the gene named THAP domain-containing protein 2-like, with no coding region annotated. The record is from RefSeq and is a predicted model, not a curated record. The transcript is spliced from 5 exons. NCBI's taxonomy places the organism in Eukaryota, Metazoa, Arthropoda, Insecta, Lepidoptera, Crambidae.